GAAAUGCGAUAAGUAAUGUGAAUUGCAGAAUUCAGUGAAUCAUCGAAUCUUUGAACGCACCUUGCGCCUUUUGGUAUUCCGAAAGGCAUGCCUGUUUGAGUGUCAUUUCACCACUCAGGCCUCCGGCUUGGUGUUGGGUCACGUCCUUGGAGGCGGACCUCAAAGAUCGUGGCGAUGUUGCCUUGCCCCAAGCGUAUUGGAAUGCUCUUCUCGACUUGGCGGUACACGGUAACCUCUGCCGGCUGCUCAGCAGCCCGAACCUUCAAAGGUUGACCUCGGAUCGGGUAGGGAUACCCGCUGAACUUAA
Molecule: unclassified non-coding RNA, 307 nt
Filed under: uncultured Bullera
Lineage: Eukaryota; Fungi; Basidiomycota; Tremellomycetes; Tremellales
Description: sequence contains ITS1
Rfam family: 5.8S ribosomal RNA (bases 1-105)
Source: RNAcentral